UACGAAGGGGGCUAGCGUUGCUCGGAAUCACUGGGCGUAAAGCGCACGUAGGCGGAUCUUUAAGUCAGGGGUGAAAUCCCGGGGCUCAACCCCGGAACUGCCUUUGAUACUGGUAGUCUCGAGUCCGGAAGAGGUGAGUGGAAUUCCGAGUGUAGAGGUGAAAUUCGUAGAUAUUCGGAGGAACACCAGUGGCGAAGGCGGCUCACUGGUCCGGUACUGACGCUGAGGUGCGAAAGCGUGGGGAGCAAACAGG
This 253-nucleotide ribosomal RNA is filed under the name uncultured bacterium. Its description in RNAcentral is "partial 16S ribosomal RNA". It matches the Rfam family "Bacterial small subunit ribosomal RNA", at positions 524 to 776 of the family's 1533-position model. The record is from RNAcentral.